GAUGAACGCUGGCGGCGUGCCUAAUACAUGCAAGUCGAGCGAACGGACGAGAAGCUUGCUUUUCUGAUGUUAGCGGCGGACGGGUGAGUAACACGUGGAUAACCUACCUAUAAGACUGGGAUAACUUCGGGAAACCGGAGCUAAUACCGGAUAAUAUUUUGAACCGCAUGGUUCAAAAGUGAAAGACGGUCUUGCUGUCACUUAUAGAUGGAUCCGCGCUGCAUUAGCUAGUUGGUAAGGUAACGGCUUACCAAGGCAACGACGCAUAGCCGACCUGAGAGGGUGGUCGGCCACACUGGAACUGAGACACGGUCCAGACUCCUACGGGAGGCAGCAGUAGGGAAUCUUCCGCAAUGGGCGAAAGCCUGACGGAGCAACGCCGCGUGAGUGAUGAAGGUCUUCGGAUCGUAAAACUCUGUUAUUAGGGAAGAACAUAUGUGUAAGUAACUGUGCACAUCUUGACGGUACCUAAUCAGAAAGCCACGGCUAACUACGUG
Molecule: ribosomal RNA, 497 nt
Filed under: uncultured bacterium
Lineage: Bacteria
Description: partial 16S ribosomal RNA
Rfam family: Bacterial small subunit ribosomal RNA
Source: RNAcentral